AUUGAAUGGCUCAGUGAGGCCUUCGGACUGGCUCAGGGAGGUCGGCAACGACCACCCAGAGCCGGAAAGUUGGUCAAACUCGGUCAUUUAGAGGAAGUAAAAGUCGUAACAAGGUCUCCGUAGGUGAACCUGCGGAGGGAUCAUUA
Molecule: ribosomal RNA, 146 nt
Filed under: Uwebraunia dekkeri
Lineage: Eukaryota; Fungi; Ascomycota; Dothideomycetes; Mycosphaerellales; Dissoconiaceae
Also listed under: 1 other name
Description: partial 18S ribosomal RNA
Rfam family: Eukaryotic small subunit ribosomal RNA
Source: RNAcentral